UCGUUUAUAACCGUCGAAAAGUUUUGUCUCGUUACUUGAUCUCUGAAUAUUUGUUUUUUGCAAUUUUUGGCAUAUGCAAUCUCGAAGUAUAUACAAACAUGUUUAACGGUUGGAUCGUUGAAACUAGUUUCGUAGAAUGCGUAUCCCAUCAAAACAAUAGAUUCACUAACACUUAAAGAUUUUAUUCAUACUUUCAUCAAGUAUAACAUAAGAUUUUGUGGUAUCCACUAGUGUAAAUAUUUUAAAUUGAAGAUCGAAUUCAUUCAUUGUAUUUAUAUAGGGUCAAGGAGUGUAGCUGUAAAAAAGCAUCAAAAUCGGAGUUAAAAUAACCGUUAAAUCGUGAUUUUUCGUUUAUAACCGUCGAAAAGUUUCGUCCCGUUACUUGAUCUCUGAAUGUUUUUUUUUUGCAAUUUUUGGCAUAUGCGAUCUCGAAGCAUAUACAAACAAGUUUGACGGUUGGAUCGUUGAAACUAGUUUCGCAAAAUGCGUAUCUCAUCAAAACAAUAUAUUCACUAACACUUAAGAGUUUAUUAAUAUUUUCAUUAAGUAUAACAUAAG
Molecule: long non-coding RNA, 558 nt
Filed under: Malus domestica (apple)
Lineage: Eukaryota; Viridiplantae; Streptophyta; Magnoliopsida; Rosales; Rosaceae
Description: long non-coding RNA (MDOM_LNC002653)
Source: RNAcentral